This 7066-nucleotide long non-coding RNA is filed under the name Ananas comosus (pineapple). RNAcentral's name for it is "long non-coding RNA (ACOM_LNC039364)". The record is from RNAcentral. Lineage: Eukaryota; Viridiplantae; Streptophyta; Magnoliopsida; Poales; Bromeliaceae.
UGGAACUUGAUUGUCCACCCGAAUCUCUCGAUAGUGGCUUCACCCCUCCCCGCUGACGCUCAGAAGACUCGUGCUUCUCGCGCACGAAAGCAUCACCGUGCUCUGCCAACAACGCUCGAUCCAACACCUCCGUGAAGGUCGUGAGCCUAAGGAUUUGCACCCUCUCGUAAAUCUCCGGUCGAAGUCCAUGUAGGAACCAAUCGGCCAUAUCCUUGUCAUCCCGUACCACAUCCGGGACACAAUUCACGAUACGAGAGAAUUCCCGUUCAUACUCUCCCACUGAGCGGCCUCCUUGCCGCAGCUUCCUGAACCUGUCCUGAAGCUUUCUCUUUUCAGUGUCGGGAAAGUAAGUCGAAAACACCAAUCCCCGAAACUCAUCCCAUGCCAUAGGAGGGAGACUAGGCGAUCGAUUCCGUCGAAUGCUUUUCCACCACACUUUUGCCGACAACUUCAAACAGUGCACGGCUAGGGGCACCUUGUCCCGCUCCAAGGCGUACAGCUCCUCAAAGAGCGUUUCCAUAGAGUCAAUCCACAUCUCCACGAUCCAUGGAUCAACAUUCUCUCCAUCGAAGACAGGCGGAUCAAACUUCUUGAAGGUCAUAAGGGCCGCCAAAGCCCGCUCUUUCUCCGCCUCCACUUCCACAGAAUCAGAGGCCACUACCCCUGAAUCCAUCGCCACUCCCGUCGAUACACGGCACGCUGCUACCGGCGCAGCCGCCGCAAUCUGUCGUGCUAACAACUCAUGGAGCUCCUUGAUCUGCUCCUCCUGUCGCAGCACUACGCCCAUGAGCGUACUCAUCUGCUCGCGAAGCACCGGAUCUCCGCUCGCCUCGGGUUGCUCAGGGAAAACACCUGUCCCAUCCCGAGUUGAUCUAGACGAAGGUCGCCUACGCGGUGCCAUCGUUCCUUGAAAUACGACAACUCAAUUAAUUCUCAACCCUCUGGGUCAAGCACGAGACAAUUUAACAUUAACUCAAAUCGGGCGAAAGUCACGCAAGGGCGUCUAUUCUCAUCACUCAGUUUCAUGUUGUGUGCACCCAACAUGAACACCCUCGGUUGAGAAUAAACCACACCUCGAGUCUACCUCUAAUAUCCGUCAUAGAGGUUUCAACAAAACCCAAUCAAUGAACCUUUCGCCAUAAGUCACAAGUCCUCGUCUCUCACGAGCCUUAUUCUCCUAUGGUUUACGAUCCUAGGUUCUCCUAGGUCCAUCUAAACCAUUGCCCAUUCUCUACUUUAUGCUCUGAUACCACUUUACCUGUCACGCCCCGAGCCCCGCCUAUUUGGCCGAGUUCGGGCACGUCGACAGACCGCCGAACGGACAGAGUUUCCCCUGUACGUCCUAGGCGUCGCAAUCAAUACAAUGAACAUUACAAGGGUUCCAACCAGGAACAGAUAUCAAACAUGAUUGCAUAAGGAAAGUAUCACAACAUAACACAUCCUAUGUUAUUACAUGCAUUCACAAUAAUACAUUUACUUUACAUUCAACUCCCAAAUGCAAUUAAGUUAUUACAUCAUUUGCUUACUACAAAUUGAUACAUUAUUUUCUUUUCAUUACCCAAACCCCUAGGCUAUGCCGACUCGGGGUACCGCUAUCUCUGGUCUCUGGGGUAGGGCGCUAUCUAUGGAGCUACGCCCUUGCAUCGCGCCGCCGCGCCGCUCACGUGCGAACCUGUAACACCCCAAAACAACGUGGGGUGAGAACCAACUCCAUGGUUCCCAGUGGGUACGGCCACCCAAGGGAGGAGCUCGACCAAUAGGUCCAAAGAGGCAGCUGCAGGUUAGUUUAAUAAACAGAUAGAUAGAUAUUUUACUAUGCAAUUAAUAAAACCAUACCUUGCCUCGCAAAUGCAAUAUGAACAUUAUGCAACUAUGCAACUGCAUAAACAACUAGUAGAUAUGUUAAUUCUACUUUUACUUUGCUACUUUAGGUCAUUUCAUUCAAUUGUAAGGUUUCCAUUACCUUAUGUUCUCAACUCAAGUUCAACUUGCUUCUAAGGUCUCUAUUACCUCAGGUUCUUGCCUCGAUCACUAGCUUAUAAGGUUCCCAUUAACCUAAUCAAGCUAACCACCCAACUCGGCCUCAAGUCAAUUAUCCGCGGAUAGUCCGCGCACUGGCUGCACCUCAGCCUGGCUGCCGUCGCAGCCUACCGCAGAUCUGACUUAACCAUCUGACGGCGAACUCAUCGCUCUCACCCAACAACAACUCAAGUCAUGACUUAGCCAUCUGGCGGCGAACUCAUCGCACCUCACCUAACAAUGGUUCAAGUCAUAACUUAGUCAUCUGGCAGCGACCACAUCGCUCUCACCCAACAAUGGUUCAAGUCAACCUAGGCGGCAUCAUCCGAUAAGCUAAUGGGCGAGGAGAACCACACAUACCCAAUUCCAGCUUAUUCUCAUGGCAUCCCGGGCGAGGAGAACCAUACAUACCCGUUGAAUCACUGCCAGGCGAGGAGAACCACACAUACCUGCAGUUAUGAUUCGCUUGCCAUCUCUUUUACCACAAUUUCCACCGCUCCAUGUGCGGCCACAUCACUAGGGAUUCCGGAAUCCAUUUCAUAUAGCUCAAGGGUUGGUUUCAAACCCUAUAGCAUUGACCUAUCUAGGUUCAACGUCCUUUUCACCCUAGGUCCAACUGACUCUAGGUUCAACGUCUCUAUCACAUAACCUAGAUUUACUUAACUCUAGUUUCAAUCCAUAACCUAUGUUCUUUAACACUAGGUUAGAUACCACUCGACCUAUGUUCAAUAACACUAGGUUCAUUGUCAUUCAUGUCCAACCUAUGUUUUAUACACUAGGUUCAUUGUCAUUCAUGUUCAACCUAUGUUUUAUACACUAGGUUGAUUGUCAUUCAUGUCCAACCUAUGUUUUAUACACUAGGUUAAGUGCCACUCGAUCUAUUUGACAUCCUAAUUGUCCAUGUCGAGUCCCAUAACUAUCAACAUUUUAUCUAGCAUGCAUUCUUUGAUGCCAACAUGCAUAAUCUUUCUCACAUGAUCUACAACAUGUUAAUAUGCAAGUAAUCUAGCAUAUUCUCAUCAUGUCAUCAUACAUGUAUUAACAAGCAUAUUUACAUUAUGUCAUUAACAUGCAUUCUUUACCAUAUGCUCGCAUGCAUUAUUUAGCAUUUCUAUAAUAUGUUCAUCAUGCAUUCUAUGGUAAUCGUAGCAUAGCAAUUAACAUGCAUUCGCCUAGCAUUUAACUCUUGCAUUCAUCUACCAUUUAUAUGCAUCAAUAUGAAUUUACAUUUCUCUUAGACAUAAAGGGCGACCUAGUCGCUUCGGUAGGCACAACCCACCUUAACACGCGUUCCGAUUGCUUGUCGACACUUGCAAUCGGCCUCCCGCGGCACCCGUAUCCGGCACGGCCCGAUAUCGCAACUGCGCCUCAACCGUGCUCCGCUUCGCAGCCCCGAAAAUUAUAGGUCCUCGGUUACGUGCCACGGUGCUUCAAAUCCAUUUCCAUGAUUUUACGACGUCGCCUCGGCCCUCCCGGCGGACCCGAAGCCUAAACGUCCGUUUCUUUAAUAACUUUGUAACGGCUCGUCGGAUUGCCGAUCCGUCUUCGCCAACGCGUUUCGUUACCUAGCAAUUAGGUUUAUGAAGGGUCAAAUUAGAUCAAACCCUCAUAUUUUGAAAGUUUGCAUUUUUGAGCCCUAAUAUGAAUUAACCUCUAAAUAAUCCAAAUCAAAUGGAGCAAACAUGUUUAGAAUGCUCAUUAGAGACUAUUAGAACACUUAAAACUAAGGAUUAAGCCAAAUCCUAAAAGCUUACCUCAAUGUGAACGCCGCGACGACAACACACCGCUCCAACGGCCGCACGAAAGCCCGAUCCGUCGCCUCCAACGCGUUCGCAAGCAUCUUCUCCACCAACCCUCCAAUUUUUAGAGAGAGAUUUAGAGAGAUGAGAGAGAUAUCUAGAGAGAGGUAGAGGUGUUUCUCUCUCUACUCCAUGCGUGCGUGGGUGUGUGCUCGGGCUGAAGGAGAAAGAAGAAGAAGCAUCAGCUUCUUUAUAAUGCACCCCAAGGCACUAUUCACUCCAGGCAGCUUGAAAUCUGAUAAAUUUCGUUGGAGCCCUUCCGGAUGUCCGUUUGAGCUCAAAUUUGACAGGCAUGUUCGGUUUCACUUAAUAAGUCCAAAGAAAUUUUAAUAUUUCAGUUUCGACCCCGUUUGGUCACUGAAAACUGUACCGAACUGCAAUCUUUAUCAGAUAGCUUUCGGAUUCGAUUUCUCUCUCUACGGGUGUCAGAAAAAUAUGAAACUUUAAAUCUAGUCUCAUAAAAAUAUUUCUGACAUCUCCAUCAAUUUUCAUAAUUUUCUGACACUGUGCAUUUUCUGCUAAUUUAUCUGUCCCGUUUCUUACAGAAAAUUCUAAAUCAUCUGUUUUCGCUCUGAUUUCAGCACAGGUCAUUCCCAACUUAUAUUUCACUUCUCUAAAUCCAAUAAAAGUAGUAUCUCAUACUAUUUUUAUUUAUUUUCACUUUUAUAUUUAAAAUCCGGUAUGUUACGUUCUACCGCAACCUCACCGGAACCAUUUAAAUAUACACCGUAACUUCAUAGUUUUAGAAGUCCGGUACCUUACAUCCUCCCCUCCUUAAUAAGAGUUUCGUCCCCGAAACUCACUCACUUCAACCCAAUUCACACUCUAAUUCUCUUUAUUGGGUGACAAGGGUGUACAAUGCACUUUUGCAUCUCGGAGUGGCCUUUCGCUCAUUGGAACUAUCCAAAGGUCCACUACGGAGGACGUGAGACUAGAUUCACUCACAUUUGCUGUGUGUAAGUCCAAAAGUGCAUUACGGGUCUCCGUCAUUCUUGGUGGUAGCGCAAGUUGAAACUCAACGACACCACGCGCUUGAACACCAUUCACCACUUGACAUGCAAGAACUUUUCUUUGCAUUUACCUUCCCCUCAGGGUAUUACAAUUCGAUUACCAGCCUUGCUUGAAGGCAAUAUCAUUGUGCAUCGCUUCAUCGUGAGUGUUCAAAUCAUAUUUGAAUCUUUGCUCUAUCAAGAGAUGGCCCACUCCGGUGCAUCUCGAUUUUGAAUCCAUAAUAAAGCAUUAUCCUCAAGUUCCUCAAUUCCUCCAACAUAACCCAGCCUACCUGGGCAAAUGCCGCACUCGGGGACCGGUCUCUCCCUUACCUGGGACCGGUUGCCCCGCGCUGCGCGACCCUCAGCCUCGGGGCAACCGGUCCUUCCCUGUCUGGGACCGGUCCCCGAGAGCAAGCUCACGCAGACCACGUUCGGGAACCGGUCCCUCCCGCCAGGGACCGGUCCCCGAGAGCAAAUCUGCCAAGUGUAGAUUCUUGCACCAUUUGCUCUCGCGGACUCCAUUGCAAUGCACUUUUAGUGCAUUUGACUUCUUCGGCUUUCAUGAAGCACUCCCACUCGACAAUUAGUCGAUCCUGAGCGAAGUCCAACUCUCGUAAUUUCCUUACUCUAACUCCUCCAUAGAGUUAUUGGCUAAACCGAUUACGUCGGCUUUCACAGGUGGACCAACGGUCGCAAACACUACGUAGGUCUAUCGCCUAACGUGUCUCAACUACGCGUAGCAUUUCCCGCUCGCAAGUAGACCCAAUCCUCAAUUUUCGAGCGAAAUUCUCACCUGGGAAUUCGCACCCACUCCAAGCAGGAGCAACCAAGACCCCAAACCACGUCAAGUCCUCGGGUUGGGUCACAACACACUAGGUGUAUCCUCGAUCUCACGAUCCAACACGUGGCAUUCCACGCACCCGGGUCUAAGCUCGGACUACCGUCCUGACCAACUCUCUGCCCUACCUAUAGGUACCGGACCGCUGUCUCUCACAGCUGACUGCACCUGCCCAAUGGGCCCAGACUCCACAGUCCACAAAUGGUCCAGGCACAGGUCGUCCCCAAGCAAUACCCGCCAACGUCGUCCUACACGACAUGCUCUACGAGUACCUAUACUCGAGCGCUCUACGCCUCUAUAGCGUUUCAACUAAGCCAAGCAGUAGGCCACCCGCCUAUGCACACCGACUACACGAGCACUACUCGCCCACCUCAACUCAGGGUGUUAUUAGGCCCAUAUGCUCGUGCUCGAUAACUAUCCGACUUUUUUCUCAAUAGUGAUCCUACUCUCACUGUUCAAUCUACCGAACCAUAUUCGAAAUGCUUUAACUACAAGGGUAUCCUCAAUGUCACGGCGCAACUCUCGCAAUCUGGUUCUCAUUGCCUUGAGAGCCGCUUCACCGUUUCACGUUCACCGCGAGUCUCAUUUCUUGUCCAGGAACCAUCACUAACAGUUUGUUAGUGCUGCAUGGCUCUCUACCUGCUCCAGCAGGCGCUACACUCUCACGAUGCAAGCAUGCUCGGGUGUCUACCUACCCGACCACUCGGUCCCUACUAUGCAAUAUGUAAAUAGUAGCUGCUGACCAUAUGAUAAAUGCAUGCUAUGCAACAGUCCAAUAUUAGGUAGAAGCAUAUACUUGCUUAAUUAACUCGUACCUGCCAUGACAGUGUCAGCAGUAGUAGGUUCCUCCACCUGGGUCGCGUAUCCACGGUCACCCGCUGCCCGCCGCGAGCCCCUCGGUGGCAUCAUCCUCAACGGUCGCGCUUCCGGCCAUGCCGCAGGUAGCACACCUGUAGGCUGUCCUGGGGAGGAAAAGGCCGUCGCCCGUGUCAGGGUCUGAUUAUACCCUUGCGGACACUCGUCCCGUACAUGGCCCGGCUGCCCGCAACGAAGGCAUCUACCAUCGCGCAGCACACACCGCCGAGCCUAGUAGGAACCACCACAAAUCACGCAUCCUGGGGAGGAUCGGCUAGAGAACGACUUCGAGUGGCGCUUGGAACUUGAUUGUCCACCCGAAUCUCUCGAUAGUGGCUUCACCCCUCCCCGCUGACGCUCAGAAGACUCGUGCUUCUCGCGCACGAAAGCAUCACCGUGCUCUGCCAACAACGCUCGAUCCAACACCUCCGUGAAGGUCGUGAGCCUAAGGAUUUGCACCCUCUCGUAAAUCUCCGGUCGAAGUCCAUGUAGGAACCAAUCGGCCAUAUCCUUGUCAUCCCGUACCACAUCCGGGACACAAUUCACGAUACGAGAGAAUUCCC